UGUGUCUUUUUCCAAGGUCACUUCCUACAGUAGAGGGCAUGUGAGCAGAAAACUCCCUAUUUUGGUUAACAGCAACAUGUUUGUGAAACCACACCUCAGGCAUGUACAGCGGCCGUGUUUACCAACGCUGUUUUGGGGCCCCGAAAGAGGAGUGGGGGGCCCCUUCGGCGUUAGUGUUUGUGUUCCAUCUUGCUGGUUCAUGACAAGUCAUGACAUGUAGCAUUACUUUAUGAGCAACAAUGUGAAAAUACGCCAGUGAUACUUGUUCUUCAGUAUGGCUAGAAAAGUCGAUUGGCAGGGGGAUUUUUGAUUAAACUGCAGACAUGUUUGGGAACCUUUAUUGAUAGUUUUAUUGUUUUAUUAUUUUUAUGCAGUGAAAGUCACAGCUGAAGCAAUGAUGCACAUAAUCCGUGCUUAGUGGACACAUACAUUAAUCGGGUCUCUUUCGUUACAAAACUGCUUCCCCCUGCCCGGGGCAACUACCAUCCACAUUAGUUCCUACCUGUCACAGUAGUUUCACAGGUAGCGAUAGCUCAAGACGGAUUCACAGACAAGCUGCCGUUUUCUUUCUCUCCGUUAACUUUCUUUGGUUCCUAAAGAACAUAUGUCUACGCUGCUUGUUCCUGCACAGAACGUCGAAGAUGUGCGCCAGCGAGGCCAGCGAGGAGGGCAGCUGGUACUGCAGCAUGUUCCUGUGGGUCUCCUUCAGCACGCUGCCCGGAAGCUCCUUCUCCACAAACUCCAUCACGGGCUGCAGGUCCGGCUCAGGUCCCGAUACCCGCAGGACGAUGGUGUACCCAUCCCCGAAUCUGUAGGGUGAACCGGGCACACACACAGGUGCUGAACGCUUCCCAGACAGCGGAACCUGCCGUUGACCAUGAUGGCGAUUCUGGUGCAGAGAGCCUCACAUUCUUCCAUGCUACGGACCAAAACAAAGCUGUCAAAGCUACAGCCUUAAGCAAUUUACUCUGGCAUUAAUACAGCUUUCUGAGUCAGAUUCGUUCCAGGAAUCCUUCAGCUGUUAAUGCUACAGCCUUAAGCAAUUUCCUCUGGCAUUAAUACAGUUUUCUGAGUCAGAUUCGUUCCAGGAAUCCUUCAGCUGUUUAAUGCUACAGCCUUGAGCAAUUUCCUCUGGCAUUAAUACAGCUUUCUGAGUCAGAUUCGUUCCAGGAAUCCUUAAUUAAAACAGACUCAUAAGGACACAUGUGGUGCCCUGGACAAGCUUGACGGCCAGUGCCCCGCCCCCCCCCGCCUCAGUAAAUUUCACCACCCAACUGCAGGCAGUCUGCUACGUUGGUGGCCCCUUGGAAGAUGGCGGCCAAGGCGGCUGCCUAUGGCGGCUGUAGGAUUGACCUGCCCUGACGUCCACGGUGGAUACCUGUGUGAGGUGAGGACCACGGAGCGGCCCUGUUUGAGGAUGCUGAGGAUGCAGUUCCAGAGCGCUCGGCGAGCCUUGGGGUCCAUGCCGGUGGUGGGCUCGUCCUGUUACAAGCAGCACGUCAAGUACAGGUCAGGUACAGGUCAUGUACAGGUCAUGUACAGGUCAGGUACUGGUAAUGUACAGGUCAGGUACUGGUAAUGUACAGGUCAGGUACAGGUCAGGUACUGGUAAUGUACAGGUCAUGUACAGGUCAUGUACAGGUCAGGUACUGGUAAUGAACAGGUCAUGUACAGGUCAGGUACGGGUCAGGUACAUGUCAGCAGCAAACAGGCAGAAUACCAGGAACAAUGGUAGCAAUAACAUUUUUGCAUCCUAGCAUUUUAUGCUAAAAGUGUCCUACAAAUUCUGGAGUUGUUUUUAAACAUUAAGCAAAAUUAACUCUAAAUUAACACUAAAAUGAAAAGUAAUGCCUUGCACAUCAGACACAAAAUACUGCCCACAAAUUUUUCCCUAUUUAGAAUGCCAGGAAUUUUUAUCUCUGCAUUGUUGCACAACAUCAGUGAAAUCCUACAGGGAAAGCUAUGCAUUUGGAUCACGUGACUUCAUAGCAAAACAAAGCCAAGGCGCAUUAUGAGGGGACGAAACACUCCAGCCAUAACCAGGGAACUGGGAACUGAACUGACAUAAAGACUCACGCAACUCUCUCACAAAAAGGAACAAUUAAAAUAACUUACCAGAAACACAACACGUGGUCCUCCAAUCAGAGCGAUGGCAGUGGACAGCUUCCUCAAGUUCCCUCCGCUGUAACUUCCAGCCAUCUUGUUUGUGCACUUCUGUAGGCCCAAUUUGCAGACUCCCCACUCAGCGACCUGGAACAGAAAUCUGACCUUCAGAAACCCUUUAACAACUCCACAGCCCAACAUCUGGGAUCACAUCUCAGUGUGUACCUUAACUUUGUUUGCCACAGUAAAAUAAAUAAAUGCUUGCUCA
Non-coding RNA from Paramormyrops kingsleyae, 2371 nucleotides. Lineage: Eukaryota; Metazoa; Chordata; Actinopteri; Osteoglossiformes; Mormyridae. The record is from RefSeq and is a predicted model, not a curated record.